This 487-nucleotide ribosomal RNA is filed under the name uncultured Bacteroidota bacterium. Its description in RNAcentral is "bacterial SSU rRNA". It matches the Rfam family "Bacterial small subunit ribosomal RNA", at positions 907 to 1392 of the family's 1533-position model. The record is from RNAcentral. Lineage: Bacteria; Pseudomonadati; Bacteroidota.
GAAUUGACGGGGGCCCGCACAAGCGGAGGAGCAUGUGGUUUAAUUCGAUGGUACGCGAGGAACCUUACCUGGGUUAGAACGUAUGAUAGAUGUAGCUGAAAGGUUACAGACCUGCGAGGGAUAUCAUACGAGGUGCUGCAUGGUUGUCGUCAGCUCGUGCCGUGAGGUGUUUGGUUAAGUCCAGCAACGAGCGCAACCCCUACCUUUAGUUGCCAGCAGGUAAAGCUGGGGACACUAGAGGGACUGCCUGCGCAAGCAGAGAGGAAGGUGGGGAUGACGUCAAAUCAGCACGGCCCUUAUGUCCAGGGCUACACACGUGCUACAAUGGUAACUACAGAAGGCAGCGACUAGGCGACUAGGAGCGAAUCUCGAAAAGUUAUCUCAGUUCGGAUUGGAGUCUGCAACUCGACUCCAUGAAGGUGGAUUCGCUAGUAAUCGCGCAUCAGCAAUGGCGCGGUGAAUACGUUCCCGGGCCUUGUACACACCG